This is a long non-coding RNA of Loxodonta africana (African savanna elephant), 3489 nucleotides long. RefSeq lists it as uncharacterized. Lineage: Eukaryota; Metazoa; Chordata; Mammalia; Proboscidea; Elephantidae. The record is from RefSeq and is a predicted model, not a curated record. The transcript has 3 exons.
AGGAAUUGAGAGGAUUUUCUCCGUAAGUGCCCUUAUAAAAACCGCCCACCACUUUGGUUCCGUUUUUUUUUUGGUGCUUUGGCAGGGCUGGGGCUGCUGAAGAGGCACCUAGCCUGGGCGCUGGUUUUUUUUUUUGGCUUGGAGGAGUUGGGAGUUCGUUACACUUCAUCUUUAAAAGCCAAAUUUGUGAGCCUCCUCAUUGACACUGGGCCGGUAGAAGCCGUUGGAUAUUUUCGAAGAAGACUUGGAUUCUUUUUAUUUUCCUGCCGUCCCCGCUUUUAUCCCUCCUCACUUGUCCUGUCUUUAGCUCAAUCUUUGGUAACCUCCCAACGGAGAUGAAGACGUGGAAAAAAAAAAAAAAGUUAAACAGGAGUGGUGGUGGGGAGAGGGCGGAGAUCAUGUGAGGGAUGGCCUCCACCCCCCUGGCCCACUCCCCUGCGGUUAGGAAGAUCUUUCUCCUCUGACUUUUCUUUUUUCAACUAGCUGCCCCAGGCUUGAAAUGGGCAGAAAGUGCAUUGUGAAGUGUUUUGAAACGAAAACAUCCCCUUCACCCCACCCCCGCACGCACACACACCACUUUUAGUACCAAUCCUGACCGCCUGCAUUUUUUAGGGAGAGCGUUAACUUUUAAAGUAUUUACUCACAAAUGUUGGGGUCUUAAGAGCUCCUUGCACGUCUCCUCGCCUUUCCGCUGCAGUCAGCCGCCCCCAGUCCUCAUAGCCUUUUUGGCAUUUCAGCUAUCCACUCGUGGCAUUUUCUGCUGUAGCAGCACUCAAUAACUAAGACACAUGGGAUCACCAUGAGCUGGAAUUGACUCAACAGCAACUGACAACCUCAGAACUCGGCCUGUGAGCAACAGUCCUGCUCUUCGACCUGCUGAUCUUGGGUUCGCCAGCCCCUGCAGCUACGUGAAUCAGGAGAAGCCUUGCAGUCUUGCCUGCCCAUCUUGGCAUUCAUCAACAUUCACAGUCUGUGAGCAAGAGCGCUGCCCUCUGACCUGCUGAUCUUGGAUUUGAUAAUCCCUGCCGCUAUGUGAAUCAGGAGAAGCCUCUAUCAUGAUCCACGGACUUCGGACGUUUCAGACUUUAAAAUUGCGUGAGCUGUUUCCUUGGUAUGAAUCUCUCUCUAUAUAUAUAUUUAUAUGCUUUACUGGUUUUGCUUCUUUAGAGAACCCAGCCUAAGGCAGAUGGAUUCUGAGCUAUUAGCUUGAUUUAUUGAGACAGAGAUCUGGGGUCAACUAGUAAUGUCUGCCAAGGACAUAGACUGGAAGAAUGUAAGGGUUGGGCAAGCAUGACAGAUAUUUUUGUCAGGCUGACAUAUAUUUGUAUAUUGCCUCUUGCAUCAUCUCCUGACCAUUUUUUUUGACAUUGCUGAUGACAGCCUCUGCCUUCAAGGUCUGAGCCCUCAGUGUCUGAAUCACAAUGCCAGUCUUCUAGGUCUUUGUUACUCAAAGUGUGAUUCUAUCCAUCCUCCCCACCCCCAGCAGCAUCAUUGCCUGGGAGCUUGUUAGAAAAUCAGAAUCUGGGGUCCCACCACAUUCCUACUGAAUCAGGAGCUGCAUUUUAACAAGAAUCCCAGGGGAUUUGUUUGUACAUUCAAGUGUGAGGAGCACUGGUCUAGAGUACAUCCUUUUUCAAAUGCACCUGCCCCUGCCUCAGUAGCCAGAAUCAUCCUCUUCCAGGAAGAUGCUGGCUCAGGCCCAGGUCUAAGUAUUCCCAACAGGCUCUAAUACUUAACCCAGUAGAAUCAGGUGGAUUUAUGGACCAUUUCAGUUGAGGCAUGAAGACUUCAGGACAUCUCCCCCCCACCCCACUGGAAAAACCUUACAGGAUUCUCUGGCUUUUCUCACUAGAGGUUUAAGUGCCUCUGGAUCUGCUGGCCACACCUCUAUAGCUCAGCACCACGUCCAUUCCUAUUUGAGAGUCUUCAGAGUCUCCCCAGGGCCUCAAGAAUCCAGCCCAAACUGUCCACCCUACCCUUUGAGACCUUUCCCUUUCUCACACAGGGGCCCUGGGAGUUCAGGUAGAGUUGAACAGUGCAGAGACUCAGAGGAGAAAUAGUUGCUGAGUCUAGAAGCAAUAGCUGCUCAUUCAAUCAUUUGUUCAACCAGUGUUUGUUGAGAAUAUUCUGUGCCAAGUGUUGGAGAUAUAGCAAUGAAUACAACGUGGUUUCUGCCCUUGAGGAAAAGAGUCAUUUAAACAAGUAAUUACAAUAUAAUGUGAUACAAAAGGCAAGUGCUAGGGUUGUCGGUAAAAAGAAGGGAUAAGGGCAUUCCAUUCAGAAGGCAAAGGCAUGGAGGAGUGAAAGAACAUGGCAUGAUCAGGGACUGAUAGGCAGAACAGUGUGCCUGGAACAUAGGAUGAGUGUAGAGGAGAGUGGCAGGGCUGAUCUGAGUGAGGAUUUGGGGCUGAUCCCCAGCAAAUUUUAAAUCUCAUACUGGCUUCCUUGGGCCUGCAGCACAUGUCCACCCCUGCCUGCUCUCUGCACCCACUUAGGGGAGAUGAUCUCAUUUCUAUACUGACUUGAGCCAGUAAGAAUCAGGAGACAUUUACAGACACAGGCACACAGACACAGACACACACGAGAGGGCAUGUCAAAGCCAAACAUUAGCAGGCUUUGGAUCUGUGCCCUAGCUCCCAACCCAUGACUGACUGGAUUCCAUCCUUACUAACAAUCCCUUGUUCACACCAACAGGAGCAGGAGUGGUCAGUGAAUUAACUUCCUGGGCAAGAGCUCUAAGGCAGGACUUGAGGUCUCCAAGACGUGAGACAUGGCUAAUGAUGGGGCAGGUUUGGCCACACAAAUGUACCAGAUAUGACAGUGUGCCUGUGCCUGUGCCUGUGUAUAUGGAUAUAUAUGUAUGAGUGUAUGUGUGCACAGCUUGGGGAAGGGGUGUGUGUUGGUUACCUCUCAGUCUCAGGAGAUAUAACUCCAAUUCCUUGUCAGAGAAGGAAAGAUAGACUGUUCCAUUGAUACCCGCCCGGGAUGAAUGUGAGAAACUUCUCUGGGGGGUCAAAAAUUGAGGUUUCUUUAAAACAUAACUUCAAAUUCUUUGACAUUUUUAUGGAGAGGUGAGGUCUCUGUUCCCUUACCUUGAACUUGGACUGCUUUGAGCAAUCUGGGAUGCUAUGGGACAACGAGGCUGGAUCAUGAAAGGCCAUGCAGCUUCAACCUUGUUCACUGGAACCCUCACCCUUUGAGCUGCCUGAGCUGCAAGCUAAGAAGUCAGACUACCCUGAGGCCACCAUGCUGGAGAGGCCACGUGUAGGUGCUCUGGUUGAUAGUUCUUCCUUAGCCCAGACUUUCAGCCUUUCCCACUCACACACCAGAUAUGUGAGUGAAGCCAUCUUGGAUCCUCCAGGCCAGCCCAUCCACCAGCUGAAUUUCAUCAGGUAUCCUCACUGACACCAUGUAGAAGAGAAGAAUCAUCCAGCCAAGCCCUGCCCAAAUUCAUGACUCAUAAAAUUGUGAGAUACAAUAAAAUGGUUG